GGGGAAUAUUGGACAAUGGGCGCAAGCCUGAUCCAGCCAUGCCGCGUGGAUGAUGAAGGCCCUAGGGUUGUAAAGUCCUUUUAACGGGGAAGAUAAUGACGGUACCCGUAGAAUAAGCCCCGGCUAACUUCGUGCCAGCAGCCGCGGUAAUACGAAGGGGGCUAGCGUUGCUCGGAAUUACUGGGCGUAAAGCGCACGUAGGCGGGUCGAUAAGUCGGGGGUGAAAUCCUGGAGCUCAACUCCAGAACUGCCUUCGAAACUGUCGAUCUUGAGUUCGGGAGAGGUGAGUGGAACUGCGAGUGUAGAGGUGAAAUUCGUAGAUAUUCGCAAGAACACCAGUGGCGAAGGCGGCUCGCUGGCCCGAUACUGACGCUGAGGUGCGAAAGCGUGGGGAGCAAAC
This 400-nucleotide ribosomal RNA is filed under the name uncultured bacterium. RNAcentral describes it as "bacterial SSU rRNA". It matches the Rfam family "Bacterial small subunit ribosomal RNA", at positions 356 to 773 of the family's 1533-position model. The record is from RNAcentral.